RNAcentral lists this transfer-messenger RNA (343 nucleotides) under Oscillospiraceae bacterium. It matches the Rfam family "transfer-messenger RNA". From Rfam's summary of the family: Bacterial tmRNA, also known as 10Sa RNA or SsrA, is named for its dual tRNA and mRNA-like properties. Its role is to liberate the mRNA from a stalled ribosome. The record is from RNAcentral. Lineage: Bacteria; Bacillati; Bacillota; Clostridia; Eubacteriales; Oscillospiraceae.
GGGGCCGUAAAGGUUUCGACGGGGAUAUCCGGCGCAGUUAAGCAAGCACAGCCGCACGUCUGUUUAAUCCGGGCAAAAACAAAUAAACGCUAACAAUAAAUUAGAACUCCAAGCAGCCUAAGGGCUGCUUGCGUCCGACCGAGCUUUGCCGUUGACACGGAUUCGGGCGUAAACUAAACGGCAAACCUCGCCGCCUAUGCCUUUAAGCGGCGUUUUAUCAAAGGCGGCUCGCACGGUGGUCUGUCACUUGUCUGCCGUGCGCUGAGAUUACGAUUGACUAAGCUUGUAGAAAAACCGCGUGAAGUAUUUUCGGACAGGAGUUCGAUUCUCCUCGGCUCCACCA